ACGGUCCUAAGGUAGCGAAAUUCCUUGUCGGGUAAGUUCCGACCUGCACGAAUGGCGUAAUGAUGGCCAGGCUGUCUCCACCCGAGACUCAGUGAAAUUGAACUCGCUGUGAAGAUGCAGUGUACCCGCGGCAAGACGGAAAGACCCCGUGAACCUUUACUAUAGCUUGACACUGAACAUUGAGCCUUGAUGUGUAGGAUAGGUGGGAGGCUUUGAAGCGUGGACGCCAGUCUGCGUGGAGCCAACCUUGAAAUACCACCCUUUAAUGUUUGAUGUUCUAACGUAGGCCCCUAAUCGGGGUUGCGGACAGUGUCUGGUGGGUAGUUUGACUGGGGCGGUCUCCUCCCAAAGAGUAACGGAGGAGCACGAAGGUUAGCUAAUCCUGGUCGGACAUCAGGAGGUUAGUGCAAUGGCAUAAGCUAGCUUGACUGCGAGCGUGACGGCGCGAGCAGGUGCGAAAGCAGGUCAUAGUGAUCCGGUGGUUCUGAAUGGAAGGGCCAUCGCUCAACGGAUAAAAGGUACUCCGGGGAUAACAGGCUGAUACCGCCCAAGAGUUCAUAUCGACGGCGGUGUUUGGCACCUCGAUGUCGGCUCAUCACAUCCUGGGGCUGAAGUAGGUCCCAAGGGUAUGGCUGUUCGCCAUUUAAAGUGGUACGCGAGCUGGGUUUAGAACGUCGUGAGACAGUUCGGUCCCUAUCUGCCGUGGGCGCUGGAGAAUUGAGGGGGGCUGCUCCUAGUACGAGAGGACCGGAGUGGACGCAUCACUGGUGUUCGGGUUGUCAUGCCAAUGGCACUGCCCGGUAGCUAAAUGCGGAAGAGAUAAGUGCUGAAAGCAUCUAAGCACGAAACUUGCCCCGAGAUGAGUUCUCCCUGAGACUUUAAGUCUCCUGAAGGAACGUUGAAGACGACGACGUUGAUAGGCCGGGUGUGUAAGCGCAGCGAUGCGUUGAGCUAACCGGUACUAAUGAACCGUGAGGCUUAACCUU
RNAcentral lists this ribosomal RNA (986 nucleotides) under metagenome. Its description in RNAcentral is "bacterial LSU rRNA". It matches the Rfam family "Bacterial large subunit ribosomal RNA", at positions 1945 to 2925 of the family's 2925-position model. The record is from RNAcentral.